This 490-nucleotide ribosomal RNA is filed under the name uncultured bacterium. RNAcentral describes it as "partial 16S ribosomal RNA". It matches the Rfam family "Bacterial small subunit ribosomal RNA", at positions 30 to 507 of the family's 1533-position model. The record is from RNAcentral.
AUUGAACGCUGGCGGCAGGCCUAACACAUGCAAGUCGAACGGUAACAGGAAACAGCUUGCUGUUUCGCUGACGAGUGGCGGACGGGUGAGUAAUGUCUGGGAAACUGCCUGAUGGAGGGGGAUAACUACUGGAAACGGUAGCUAAUACCGCAUAACGUCGCAAGACCAAAGAGGGGGACCUUCGGGCCUCUUGCCAUCGGAUGUGCCCAGAUGGGAUUAGCUAGUAGGUGGGGUAACGGCUCACCUAGGCGACGAUCCCUAGCUGGUCUGAGAGGAUGACCAGCCACACUGGAACUGAGACACGGUCCAGACUCCUACGGGAGGCAGCAGUGGGGAAUAUUGCACAAUGGGCGCAAGCCUGAUGCAGCCAUGCCGCGUGUAUGAAGAAGGCCUUCGGGUUGUAAAGUACUUUCAGCGGGGAGGAAGGGAGUAAAGUUAAUACCUUUACUCAUUAACGUUACCCGCAGAAGAAGCACCGGCUAACUCCGUG